GGGUUGUGAGGUUAAGCGACUAAGCGUACACGGUGGAUGCCCUGGCAGUCAGAGGCGAUGAAGGACGUGCUAAUCUGCGAUAAGCGUCGGUAAGGUGAUAUGAACCGUUAUAACCGGCGAUUUCCGAAUGGGGAAACCCAGUGUGUUUCGACACACUAUCGUUAAGUGAAUACAUAGCUUAACGAAGCGAACCGGGGGAACUGAAACAUCUAAGUACCCCGAGGAAAAGAAAUCAACCGAGAUUCCCCCAGUAGCGGCGAGCGAACGGGGAGCAGCCCAGAGUCUGAAUCAGCGCGUGUGUUAGUGGAACGGUCUGGAAAGUCCGGCGGUACAGGGUGAUAGCCCCGUACACUAAAAUGCACACGUUGUGAACUCGAAGAGUAGGGCGGGACACGUGGUAUCCUGUCUGAAUAUGGGGGGACCAUCCUCCAAGGCUAAAUACUCCUGACUGACCGAUAGUGAACCAGUACCGUGAGGGAAAGGCGAAAAGAACCCCGGCGAGGGGAGUGAAAAAGAACCUGAAACCGUGUACGUACAAGCAGUGGGAGCCUACUUGUUAGGUGACUGCGUACCUUUUGUAUAAUGGGUCAGCGACUUAUAUUCUGUAGCAAGGUUAACCGUAUAGGGGAGCCGCAGGGAAACCGAGUCUUAACUGGGCGUUAAGUUGCAGGGUAUAGACCCGAAACCCGGUGAUCUAGCCAUGGGCAGGUUGAAGGUUGGGUAACACUAACUGGAGGACCGAACCGACUAAUGUUGAAAAAUUAGCGGAUGACUUGUGGCUGGGGGUGAAAGGCCAAUCAAACCGGGAGAUAGCUGGUUCUCCCCGAAAGCUAUUUAGGUAGCGCCUCGUGAACUCAUCUUCGGGGGUAGAGCACUGUUUCGGCUAGGGGGUCAUCCCGACUUACCAACCCGAUGCAAACUACGAAUACCGAAGAAUGUUAUCACGGGAGACACACGGCGGGUGCUAACGUCCGUCGUGAAGAGGGAAACAACCCAGACCGCCAGCUAAGGUCCCAAAGUCAUGGUUAAGUGGGAAACGAUGUGGGAAGGCACAGACAGCCAGGAUGUUGGCUUAGAAGCAGCCAUCAUUUAAAGAAAGCGUAAUAGCUCACUGGUCGAGUCGGCCUGCGCGGAAGAUGUAACGGGGCUAAACCAUGCACCGAAGCUGCGGCAGCGACACUAUGUGUUGUUGGGUAGGGGAGCGUUCUGUAAGCCGUUGAAGGUGGCCUGUGAGGGUUGCUGGAGGUAUCAGAAGUGCGAAUGCUGACAUAAGUAACGAUAAAGCGGGUGAAAAGCCCGCUCGCCGGAAGACCAAGGGUUCCUGUCCAACGUUAAUCGGGGCAGGGUGAGUCGACCCCUAAGGCGAGGCCGAAAGGCGUAGUCGAUGGGAAACAGGUUAAUAUUCCUGUACUCGGUGUUACUGCGAAGGGGGGACGGAGAAGGCUAUGUUAGCCGGGCGACGGUUGUCCCGGUUUAAGCAUGUAGGCGGAACGAUUAGGUAAAUCCGGUCGUUUAUUAACGCUGAGGUGUGAUGACGAGGCACUACGGUGCUGAAGUAACAAAUGCCCUGCUUCCAGGAAAAGCCUCUAAGCAUCAGGUAACAACGAAUCGUACCCCAAACCGACACAGGUGGUCAGGUAGAGAAUACCAAGGCGCUUGAGAGAACUCGGGUGAAGGAACUAGGCAAAAUGGUGCCGUAACUUCGGGAGAAGGCACGCUGAUGGUAGGUGAAGUGACUUGCUCAUGGAGCUGAAAUCAGUCGAAGAUACCAGCUGGCUGCAACUGUUUAUUAAAAACACAGCACUGUGCAAACACGAAAGUGGACGUAUACGGUGUGACGCCUGCCCGGUGCCGGAAGGUUAAUUGAUGGGGUUAUCCGUAAGGAGAAGCUCUUGAUCGAAGCCCCGGUAAACGGCGGCCGUAACUAUAACGGUCCUAAGGUAGCGAAAUUCCUUGUCGGGUAAGUUCCGACCUGCACGAAUGGCGUAAUGAUGGCCAGGCUGUCUCCACCCGAGACUCAGUGAAAUUGAACUCGCUGUGAAGAUGCAGUGUACCCGCGGCAAGACGGAAAGACCCCGUGAACCUUUACUAUAGCUUGACACUGAACAUUGAGCCUUGAUGUGUAGGAUAGGUGGGAGGCUUUGAAGCGUGGACGCCAGUCUGCGUGGAGCCAACCUUGAAAUACCACCCUUUAAUGUUUGAUGUUCUAACGUAGACCCGUGAUCCGGGUUGCGGACAGUGUCUGGUGGGUAGUUUGACUGGGGCGGUCUCCUCCCAAAGAGUAACGGAGGAGCACGAAGGUUAGCUAAUCCUGGUCGGACAUCAGGAGGUUAGUGCAAUGGCAUAAGCUAGCUUGACUGCGAGCGUGACGGCGCGAGCAGGUGCGAAAGCAGGUCAUAGUGAUCCGGUGGUUCUGAAUGGAAGGGCCAUCGCUCAACGGAUAAAAGGUACUCCGGGGAUAACAGGCUGAUACCGCCCAAGAGUUCAUAUCGACGGCGGUGUUUGGCACCUCGAUGUCGGCUCAUCACAUCCUGGGGCUGAAGUAGGUCCCAAGGGUAUGGCUGUUCGCCAUUUAAAGUGGUACGCGAGCUGGGUUUAGAACGUCGUGAGACAGUUCGGUCCCUAUCUGCCGUGGGCGCUGGAGAAUUGAGGGGGGCUGCUCCUAGUACGAGAGGACCGGAGUGGACGCAUCACUGGUGUUCGGGUUGUCAUGCCAAUGGCAUUGCCCGGUAGCUAAAUGCGGAAAAGAUAAGUGCUGAAAGCAUCUAAGCACGAAACUUGCCCCGAGAUGAGUUCUCCCUGACCCUUUAAGGGUCCUGAAGGAACGUUGAAGACGACGACGUUGAUAGGUCGGGUGUGUAAGCGUAGCGAUACGUUGAGCUAACCGAUACUAAUGAACCGUGAGGCUUAACCUUACAACGCCGAAGCUGUU
RNAcentral lists this ribosomal RNA (2932 nucleotides) under Klebsiella ornithinolytica. RNAcentral describes it as "bacterial LSU rRNA". It matches the Rfam family "Bacterial large subunit ribosomal RNA". Lineage: Bacteria; Pseudomonadati; Pseudomonadota; Gammaproteobacteria; Enterobacterales; Enterobacteriaceae. The record is from RNAcentral.